This 70-nucleotide transfer RNA is filed under the name Ateuchosaurus chinensis (Chinese short-limbed skink). RNAcentral describes it as "tRNA-Val". It matches the Rfam family "tRNA". Rfam says of the family: Transfer RNA (tRNA) molecules are approximately 80 nucleotides in length. Their secondary structure includes four short double-helical elements and three loops (D, anti-codon, and T loops). Lineage: Eukaryota; Metazoa; Chordata; Lepidosauria; Squamata; Scincidae. The record is from RNAcentral.
CAAAAAGUAGCUUAACACAAAGCACUCAGCUUACAAUUGAAUUAUGUUAGCGAAUAACUAACCUUUUUGA